CCUACGGGAGACAGCAGUGAGGAAUAGUGGUCAAUGGACGCAAGUCUGAACCAGCCAUGCCGCGUGCAGGAAGACGGCUCUAUGAGUUGUAAACUGCUUUUGUACGAGGGUAAACGCAGAUACGAGUAUCUGUCUGAAAGUAUCGUACGAAUAAGGAUCGGCUAACUCCGUGCCAGCAGCCGCGGUAAGACGGAGGAUUCAAGCGUUAUCCGGAUUUAUUGGGGUUAAAGGGUGCGUAGGCGGUCGGAUAAGUUUGAGUUGCAAUCCCGAGGCUCAACUUCGGAAUUGCCUCUGAUACUGUUCGGCUAUAGCUUAGUUGCGCUAGGCAGAAUGUAUGGUGUAGCGGUGAAAUGCUUAGAGUUCCUACAGAACCCCGAUUGCGAAGGCAGCUUACCAAGCUACUUCUGACGUUGAGGCACGAAAGCG
This 426-nucleotide ribosomal RNA is filed under the name uncultured bacterium. Its description in RNAcentral is "partial 16S ribosomal RNA". It matches the Rfam family "Bacterial small subunit ribosomal RNA", at positions 338 to 761 of the family's 1533-position model. The record is from RNAcentral.